Molecule: ribosomal RNA, 397 nt
Filed under: uncultured bacterium
Lineage: Bacteria
Description: partial 16S ribosomal RNA
Rfam family: Bacterial small subunit ribosomal RNA
Source: RNAcentral
AUACGUAGGGGGCGAGCGUUGUCCGGAAUGAUUGGGCGUAAAGGGCGCGUAGGCGGCCCGGUAAGUCUGGAGUGAAAGUCCUGUUUUUAAGAUGGGAAUUGCUUUGGAUACUGUCGGGCUUGAGUGCAGGAGAGGUAAUUGGAAUUCCCAGUGUAGCGGUGAAAUGCGUAGAGAUUGGGAGGAACACCAGUGGCGAAGGCGACUUACUGGACUGUAACUGACGCUAAGGCGCGAAAGUGUGGGGAGCAAACAGGAUUAGAUACCCUGGUAGUCCACACUGUAAACGAUGAAUGCUAGGUGUAGGGGGUAUCGACCCCUUCUGUGCCGCAGUCAACACAAUAAGCAUUCCGCCUGGGGAGUACGGCCGCGAGGUUGAAACUCAAAUGAAUUGACGGGG